RNAcentral lists this long non-coding RNA (2904 nucleotides) under Cricetulus griseus (Chinese hamster). RNAcentral describes it as "lncRNA (ENSCGRG00015041077.1)". The record is from RNAcentral. Lineage: Eukaryota; Metazoa; Chordata; Mammalia; Rodentia; Cricetidae.
GAGAGAGAGAGAGAGAGAGAGAGAGAGAGAGAGAGAAUGAAUUUCUUGUAGAAGUAUUGGGAUUCCAGAUGUGAGCCACUGCAUCUAGUUUUUUGUGAGUCCCAGGGACUGAAUUCAGGUUCAUGUGUGAGCAUGUUCUAUAAAAUACUUUUACCUACUUAACUAUCUCACCAGUUAACUACUCUGUGUGGUAGUUUGAAUGUAUUUGCCUCCUCCUCCCAUAAGCUUAUAGGGAGUGGCACUAUUAGGAGGUGUGACGUUGGAGCUAGUGUGGUCUUGUUGGAGGAGGCUGUAUGACAACAGGCUUUUAAUCCAGACCUUGAGGCUGGAAAGAACACCUUUAAUCUGGGCCACACCUUCUUUUGGAAGUAUCUCACUAUGGGUGCCGGCUUUGAGGUUUCCCAUACUCAGGAUACCCUCCAGCGAGCCAGUUGACUUCCUGUUACCUGCAAGAUGUAGGACAUUUGGCUAUUUCUCCAGCACCAAGCCUGCCUGCCUUCCUGCCUGCUGCCAUGAUCCCCAUAAUGACUACUGAACUGUAAGUAAACCACCACAAUUAAAUGUUUUCUUUAUAAGAGUUGCCAUAAUCUCUGGGAAAGCUGGCCUUGUCUCUUGCUGGACACUACAGCAGGAGAGCUGGCCCCUGCACGAUGUAGAACUGGCCCCCAUCCCUCACCACAGACCAGGGUGAACCGACCCUGAGGGCAUGCAUGUAGGGGAGCUGAUUCUACCCCUUCUCCAGAGGUGGGUGUUCCCAGGGGCUUGGACUGACCAUCUUGGUUAUCUACCACCCAGGCCCACAGCAGGGGUUCUUGGGUUGACCCACCCUAACACCUACCCCAUCUAGGACCUGCUAGAGCUUGUGAAGGGACUGGGCCUGUGGAUCUCCAAGACUCGUGGCAGCCACAGGAUAUUCCAGAGGAGUUCCAGUGAGGAUCCAGUGGAGAUGGUGUACCAGAAACAAGAAGCCUUGAACCAGACCAGUGACUCAUUGCAAAGAUAGUUUUCCAGUAAGAUUGACAGGACAAAGAGGUAUGCUAUAUGGCACACUGAAGCCUCCAUUGCCACCAGGACCAAUGAAGAGGUGUUAGAGAGGCAGGAAAGAAGAGAAUGUUCCAUGAUAUUUCCUUUUCUGUUCACCUGGGUCUCCAGGGCUGCUUGGUUACCUGGACAGUGCAGCAACAGCGUGGAAGUGCAAGCAUCUCUGUGCCACUUGACUUGGAGUGACCAGUGCGGUGGCUGGGUCAUGUGGAAGCUCUCCAUUUAGUUUUGAAGAACUUCCAUGCUGAUGUCCAUAGUGGCUGCACAAGUUUGCAUUCAUUGUCUAACCAUUUCUUUUCCUCCAAUUCUCUCCAGUAGUUGUUGUCCUUUUUAUUUUUAUUUUGUUGUUGUUUGUUUUGAGACAUCUAUAACCUGGGAUGGACUGGCAUUUACUAUGUAGGUCCGGCUGACCUUGAACUCAUAUUCUUCUUGCCUCAGCCCUUCAAGUCCUGUGAUCAUAGCAUGGAUGCAACAAUACCCAUCACCUGUUUCCUCAAUGCGGUCUAUUCUGAAGGGAGUGAGAUACAUGCUUUAUGUACCAACCCCACAUCUGAUGGGUAUCUGUAGAGAGAUGCCCUCCUGGCCAUUUUCUAGGCUGAUGAUUGUUGUUAUCUUUGCUGUACAGAAGAGUCUUAAGUCUGUGCUACUGUGUACUUGACCCUGUGACUCCCAUCAGCCCUUGCUAAAGGCACUCCCGGCCUCCUUUGCAGGUGUACUGGAUAGGCUCCAGUGGUCAGAGACAGACCUCGGGAAGGAGGCACACUGCUUGCAGAUGAAAGCCACUGUGAGAGAGUGUGCUUUUGAGCUUCAUGUGAGCCUUUCAAGGUGUCUUUUCACUGGUGCUUCCAGACGGUGACCCAUUGUUUCAAUUUCUUUUUUAGAAAAAACAAAACAAAACCCCUCCCAACUUUCCAAAAGAAGGUUAAUGGGAUAAGGCACAUCUCCACUGCUUCAGGUCAAAGCUUUAUCUUCACUAUUCAACUCUCUUCAGCUUUGACCAGAAAUUGUUUUUCUCAUACAAUUCUUUUUUUGCUGAGAUACAUUCUAUACACCUUAGGGUGCCUCCCUACCUUUCCUUUUUGCAGUACUCGGGGUUGGUCCUGGGCCUCACAUGUGCCACUGAACCUCUUUCACUUAUUGAAAGUGUAUGCAGAGUUCCUACCCUACUACCCACUCCUGCAACCACCAAUUUACUCUCUCUGUCUAUCCUCUUAGUGUUGAGGAUUGAACCCAGGGCGUUUCACAUGUUACAUGAAUACUGUACCACUGAGUGGUAGUUAUUCUUUGUGGAUUUUUCUAUUUUGACAGUUCAUAUACCCAGAAUCAUAGGACGUGUGGCCUUUUCCAUCUGAUGCCUUACAUCCAGCUGAGGGUUUCCUUGACUCGUCUGUGUCAUGGCAUAUACUGCUACUCCAUUCUGUUUUAUAGUAGAAUUAUCCUAUAGAAUCACAAUACCAUUUUAUUAACCCUUAAAGAUGGAUAUUGGGGUUGCUUUACUUUUUUUGUUAUCAUGAACAACAGACAUUUGGUUGCUGUGAGCAUUUAGGUGCGGUGUGUGUGUGUGUGUGUGUGUGUGUGUGUGUGUGUGUGUGUGUAGAUAGUUGCAUGCACUUUUCCUGGGUGUAUAGCUAGGAGCAGAGGUUCUGGUUUCUAUGGUAACUCCAUGUUUGAUAUUUUAAGAAGCUGUCAAACUUUUCCACAAAGAGGCUGCUCCAGUCCACACCCCUCCAGUAACACAGGAAGGUUCUGGUCCAGUUUCUCCACAUGCUCACCAACACUUGUCCUUCUUUCUGAUCAUGCCCUCCUGCUGGGAAUGAAGUGUCAGUGGUUAGAUGCAGGAAGAGAAUAGAAGAUUGCACAGAG